GGUGACUCAGACUGGCCGUGGAGAAGCAAGAAAGCUGGAGGGAUGUCAUCAGAUGUCCAACAUGGUGAGGUACCAUCCACAUCAAAGCUUUCUACGAGAACUCAAAAGAGGUCAACACAUAAGGCCCAAAAAAAGAUGCCUACAAGGACAUCAGCUGGUCGUCUUGAAUGCUUUAAUAAGGGUAUUGAUGAGGAUAUGCCUCAGGGAAGUCCUAAUACCACAAAUUCCCAGACCCUAGAUGAAGGUCAUGUACAG
Molecule: long non-coding RNA, 255 nt
Organism: Pleuronectes platessa (European plaice)
Lineage: Eukaryota; Metazoa; Chordata; Actinopteri; Pleuronectiformes; Pleuronectidae
Exons: 3
Source: RefSeq, a predicted model, not a curated record